Fundulus heteroclitus (mummichog) is the source of this 2493-nucleotide long non-coding RNA. RefSeq lists it as uncharacterized. NCBI's taxonomy places the organism in Eukaryota, Metazoa, Chordata, Actinopteri, Cyprinodontiformes, Fundulidae. The transcript is spliced from 2 exons. The record is from RefSeq and is a predicted model, not a curated record.
GCGUCCAUUUUUUUUCCCCACGACAAAUACCAGUAGCCUACGAUGCAGUGGCUUUAGGACCCUGAUGAAGCGGAAGAAGAACGUCUCUCCUCCUCAUCAUCAUCAUCCUCCUUCUCCUCCAUCCAUGAGCAUCAUGAUGUUGCAACUCAUCCCGCUCACUGUAUUAUUGUGCUUUAGUGCGAUCAUCAGCGCCCAGGACGACUCCAGCCUGACUGAGAGGCCUUAUGUGGUCCUGCAGAAGCAGAACCUAGUCACGUUGGGGAGCGUCCUCGCUGUUCUGCUGCUGCUGAUGAUCAUCAUGGCUGUUUGUGUCUACAAACCUCUGGUUCGUCGCUGAAACCGGACCGAAAAUCUACCGACAGAAACCGCAUUGCGAGUAGAGACCAGCAGGGGGCAGCAGAGCCGGGCAACAAUCAGCAGCGACACCUUGCGGCCAAAACGCGGCCUUGGCAAAACAUGCCGCGACCGAACAGCUAAAAAGAAUCCACCACAUGCACUCAUUUGCAGAUUGUGAUAAAGAGGAAAGUUUAUGUACCCAAGAUCAGUAUCUGCCAGUUUUAAUGAUGGUUACUUCUGAGGAAUGCGGGAAGCCUUGUCGCUCUGCAACAACACGGGCUCACAUGCAAGGAAAUUGCUGCCAAGAAUGUUGCACCUGAAAGAAUAGUUUUCCACGCUAUCAAGACGUUCAAGUGGACAGGCUCUACUGCCGUAGAGAAAGCUUCAGAACAUCCAAGAUUAUCAACCGAGGGUCAGGGCGGUCUUCUCCUUCAGAGUGCCCUACAGGUUGGUGGUGCCACCAGCGCAGAGCUUCCUCAAAAUUGGCAGCAGGUGUGAAUGGACACCUUUGCACGGACUAUGAGCCGCAGACCGUUGGGGAAAGGCCUUGAGGCAUGUUUGGCUGCAAAGGAGGAUAUUUUAUGCAAGGAAACCAUGAAGGACAGACCGGAUUACUGCAGGAAGUGCAGAGUGGACAGCACUGGACUGGUGCUGAGCUGCUUUCUCUGAUGUACUCAUCAGGUGUACAGUAUCUGGAGUAUUAAUUGUCCAGAGAGGAAAAGGGGAGCGUUGCCUUGAGUUACAUAUGUUGCCAGCCAUGACAGAUCCUGAUACUAUCCAUGUGUGGGGUUGCUUCUCAUUCAAAGGAGUGGGCACCACUCCCUGUUCUGCCAAGGGACCUCCAUGAAUGAAGACUGGUAUAAACACGUCCUCUAGGAGCAGCGUCUUCAACAAUGCAGGCACACUUUGGUGAUGAUGAUCAGUGUAUUUUAGCACGACAGAGCACCGUGCCACACGGAAGAAGUAACAACAAAGUGGCUCACAAUUUAUGAUGUUGAAGAUUUGGACUGGUGGUCAAAGAACUCUCCAGAUGUCAGUCCUAUUGAGAAAACUGUGGUCGGCUCUCAAAAACACUAACCAGGCAUGGGCCUCAGUGAGAGCCUCUCCUGCUGCUGAACAAACACACGAUGUAACAUAUUGUCUGUUACAGCUAUAAUAACAUUUUGGGAUUUAUUUAUGUUCAUUUAUUACGUUCAUAUUGAGAGAAUAUACUUUAUUCAGUGGCAUUUUUGAGGCUUGGUGGCACAAAACAUUCACCAUUCAGCUAGUUUACCCGGAAUAGCGCACCAUGACAGUCAGGAAUCAUUUCCAAACAGCCAAAUUUGUCUUUGUUGUAAGCAAGGGGAAACCUUAGAGAGCCUUCUUCUCGCCAGCUGACCGGCAUAGCACAGCAACACGUGGGGGAGGGGCAUGCUUCACACAGCAUGAGAAAAUCUCACUCUAAUACUUUUUUUCUCUGGUGUCUUAUUAAGAGGUGUCAGAACCAUAGGAGUAGGUUUUAAAACCAUCAUUUUGCAACACCUUAGUACCACCCUAACUUUGACCUGAUAAGGGCUUCUGUCAUCCGUUUGCUAAUAAAAGCCUUUGUUACUUUGUGCAUUCAAAGAAAUUGGAUUGGAAUAUGUGUUUAUGGGACUAGUUAGAAUAAAGGUCAUCUCAACCCUGAAUGGACAUUAUGACAACUGGGUUGAUUGGCAACUGUGAAUGGAACGGGUUGCAUUUUCCUUCCACUAAAGUUCUUAAUUUGGUUCAUGAAUAAAAGUCUAGAAAAGUGUGGAUUUAUUUAUUUAUUUUUUAAGCUAUUCCCCGAGUUCUGAAGAGGUAUAGAACAAUAUUUUCCAGACUUUAUCCGUUAUCCAGUUAUUUAAAGCUUAAAAUAUGAUCCUAUAAACUCCCACACAAAAAAACAUAUCUGAAAAUCAGAGAAUUACAUGUUUUCACAUUGAUUUAUAGUUAGAUCGCUUUCUUUUUCUUUAAUUUGCCACGACAGAGCCGAGAAGGUUCUGCAAAUAGUUGAUGCCCUUUGAUUUUUGAGCCGAUUCUCCGUGGCGCACCAUGCGGAAAUGUUUUCAUUACUUAUUAAACUGUAAAAAUCACAUGUAGCGGAUCUUGUGAGACUGUGCACUGAGAAAAUAAAUGUUGGAGGAAAAACCUUCA